UUUCCGUGUCAAAUAGCUUCAACGUCUCUUCCUCCUGUUAGAUAAGGAAGAAGGAAAGAACCAUAUAUAUCUCUCAGAAGUUCAACAACAACAACCCUAUUUGGAGUUUUCAUGUUCAUUUGCUUUUCUCUUUCUCUAAUAUUCAUUUUUCAUUAACAGAAGAGGUGUUGGUGAUGCUGUUGACAGAAGAUAGAGAGCACAGAGGAUGAAAUGCAUGAAAGGAAAUUGCAUCUCGCUCCUUUGUGCUCCCUAUUCUUCUGUCAUCACCCUUCUACCUUCCCUCCUACGCUUUAACUAGCUUUAUAUAUCAUGCAAAAUCGAAUCCUAUAUAGUUUUAUUACCAUUAGUUGAUAAGAUACGAGGAUUGAGGUUGUGUUUUUUUUUUAAAGAUAUUCUUUGAACACAGUUCUUCUAGCUUGUUCUUGAUGCUGCUUUGAUGAUGCUGUUACUGGUCCAGUAUAUGCAUUACUAGCUUUCAUGGAGACUUAUCAUAUACAGCGUGGCAAUGGCAAGUAAGAAGCUGAGGAGAUAGACCACAGCAUCUGUUACUUUUUUUUUUUAAAUCAAUAAAUAUAAUUACUGAUGUAAAUUUUACUGUUGUUCGUAACAAAGUUAUAUUUAUUGAUUUUUUUGAUA
Vigna angularis (adzuki bean) is the source of this 636-nucleotide long non-coding RNA. RefSeq lists it as uncharacterized. Lineage: Eukaryota; Viridiplantae; Streptophyta; Magnoliopsida; Fabales; Fabaceae. The transcript is spliced from 2 exons. The record is from RefSeq and is a predicted model, not a curated record.